This 2142-nucleotide ribosomal RNA is filed under the name Triticum aestivum (bread wheat). RNAcentral's name for it is "partial small subunit ribosomal RNA". Lineage: Eukaryota; Viridiplantae; Streptophyta; Magnoliopsida; Poales; Poaceae. The record is from RNAcentral.
AUGAAAUUCGUGAGUAUAGAGAUGCAAGAUUUAUAUCACCUCCGGAGGCAAUAUGGAGGAUUUAUUCCUUCAAUCUCAGUGAGAUGCAUCCUUCUGUUUUACAAUUACAGGAUGAAUACAAUUGAUAAUUAUGCUAGAAAUUUUUUAUAUAAGAAAUUCCCCGAGUUCUAUGUAUGGGACAAAGCCCAUAAGAGAUGGAAACGUCGUGUGAAGAGAACUCAAGUAGGUAGGCUUGUGGCUGCUCACCCCGCAGAAGGAGAGCGUUAUUACUUGAGAGUGUUGCUAAAUCAUGUGAGGGGGCCUACGUCAUUUGAGGAUUUGCGUACUGUUGGAGGUAUUGUUUUCUCAACAUUCAUAGAGGCUGCAGAAAAGAGAGGCCUUAUUGAAGCAGAUGAAAGUAUUUCUGACUGUCUCACUGAAGCUGCAACAUUUCAGAUGCCAUCUGCACUUAGAAGACUCUUUGCAACCAUUUUGGUUUUCUGUGAGGUGACAAAUGUUCGUGCAUUAUGGGAAAAACACUUUGAGGCGAUGUGUGAUGAUUUUCAAAAGGAGGGCAUAACUAAUGAAUCAAUUGAACAAAUGGUCCUUAGAGAUAUUGGUGAUUUGUUAUAUUCUAUGGGGAAGGACAUCAGGAUAUUUGACCUUCCAGAAUUAGUGGAUACUGAUGAUUUGGAGAGCUUAAAUAGGAGAGAAUUAUCCGAGGAACUAUCUAUUACAGUUGCUAAAGAGGACUUAGAGUUGUACACAAGCCUAAAUAGUGAGCAACGACUUGCUUUUGAUGAGAUAAUGGACCAUGUAUUGCACAACAAGUGUAAAGUAUUCUUUAUCGAUGGUCCAGGAGGUACAGAAAAGACAUAUUUAUAUAAAGCUUUAUUGGCUAAAGUGCGCUCUAUGGGACUAAUAACCAUCGCAACAGCAACGUCUGGUAUUGCAGCUUCUAUUUUGCCCGGUGGUAGAACUGCUCAUUCCAGAUUUAAAGUACCAAUAAAUAUUCAAGAAGAUAUUGUUUGCAACUUUAGUAAGAAAAGUGGGACUGCAGAAUUACUUCGAAGAGCAUCUCUAAUAGUUUGGGAUGAAGUUGUUAUGACAAAACGACAAGCUGUCGAGGCACUUGAUAGAUCCCUCCAGGAUAUUACAGGUUGUACAUCACCAUUUGGAGGAAAAGUAGUAGUGUUUGGAGGAGAUUUCAGACAAGUCCUUCCUGUUGUUAGGCAUGGCACUAAAGCGCAGAUUAUAAAUGCUACACUCCAAAAGUCUUAUCUCUGGAAGGAUAUAAAACAAAUAAAACUCCGCCGCAAUAUGAGAGCACAGUCUGAUCCAUGGUUCUCAGAUUUUCUUAUGAGAAUUGGAAAUGGCACUGAAGAAUCGAUUGGUGAAGAUUAUGUGUGUCUACCAGAAGAAAUAGUUGUGAGAUAUACAGAUUCAAAAACCUCCAUCAACAACUUAAUCGAUGAUGUCUUUCCUUCACUUUACCAGAAUGGAGGAUUAACUUCUUAUAUUAGUUCCCGUGCUAUUCUUUCCACUAAAAAUGAGUAUGUCGAUGAAUUAAACGGGAUGCUUAUAAAGCGGUUUCCCGGGGAAGAAAAAGUCUACUAUAGCUUUGAUUCAGCAGUGGAUGACACACAAAAUCACUACCCACCUGAAUUCUUGAAUUCUCUCACACCUAAUGGCCUGCCUCCACAUGUACUCAGAUUGAAGAUCAAUUGUCCUGUGAUAUUGAUUCGCAAUUUGGAUCCAUCUAAUGGGCUAUGCAACGGCACGAGGCUUAUUAUUAAGGCAUUUCAAGAUAAUGCUAUUGAUGCAGAAAUUAUAGGAGGACACCAUGCUGGAAAGCGAGUAUUUCUUCCCCGAAUUCCUCUCUACCCCUCUGAAGAUGAUGUGCUUCCCUUUAAGUUUAAAAGAAAGCAAUUUCCUAUCCGCCUUAGCUUUGCAAUGACAAUCAAUAAAGCACAGGGUCAAACCAUUCCAAAUGUUGGCAUCUACCUUCCAGAACCUGUGUUCUCUCAUGGCCAACUGUAUGUUGCUUUGUCUAGAGGAGUAUCAAGGCAUACAACAAGAAUACUUGCCAAGCCAAGCAAGGACAUCGACCCAUCAGGGAAAAGUACAAAAAAUAUUGUCUAUAAGGAUGUUUUGUUAUGUUAA